AGUGAGGUUGUAGUGAAGGGUAUUGCUUUCAAUAGGCCAUCUAUUUUUCUGAUGUCUUGUUCGUCAUUUAGGUUAUGGAUAAUGGAUCCGGAGCAUAUGAAUAGUAUAGCUUUGAGGAAUGCAUGUGUGCAGAUGUGAAGGAAAUCUAGGUAUGGUUGGUUGAUACUGAUUAUUACGAUUAUCAGACCUAGUUGGCUUGAGGUAGAGAAGGCGACAAUUUUUUUGAUGUCAUUUUGGGUGAGUGCGCAAAUUGCUGUAAAUAAUGUAGUGAUAGUCCCUAGGCAUAAUGUAAGUGUUUGGAUAGUUUUGCUGUUUUCUAUUAAUGGGUGGAAACGGAUUAGUAGAAAUACGCCUGCUACAACUAUUGUGCUUGAGUGGAGUAGGGCUGAAACUGGUGUAGGACCUUCUACGGCUGAGGGGAGUCAGGGGUGUAGGCCGAAUUGAGCGGAUUUUCCGGUUGCGGCUAGGAGGAGCCCAAUUAAUGGGAGGUUGAGGUUGGGUAUAAAGAUUUGCUGGAAGUCUCAUGAGUUUAUAUUGGACAAGAAUCACGCCAUUGAUAUAAUGAAGCCAAUGUCGCCGAUACGGUUAUACAGGAUGGCUUGCAGGGCGGCUGUGUUUGCGUCUGUUCGACCAUAUCAUCAGCUAAUUAAUAAGAAUGAUAUGAUUCCUACUCCUUCUUAUCCGAUGAAUAGUUGGAAAAGGUUGUUAGCUGUAACUAGGAUUGGGAUAGUGAUAAGGAAUAUAAGAAGAUACUUGAAGAAUCGAGUAAUGUAAGGGUCUGAGUGUAUGUAUCAUAUCGCGAGUUCUAUGAUGGAUCAUGUAACAAGAAGCGCUACUGGUACAAAGAUUACUGAGAAAUAAAAUAGUCUAGUUCGAAGAUGAGUGAUAGUUUUAGGGUUUGAAUGGUUAUUCAGUGUCAGUUUGAGAUGAUUACUUCUUGACCCGAGUGGAUAAACGUGAUUGUGGGGAUGAGGCUAA
This is a non-coding RNA of Ceratotherium simum simum (southern white rhinoceros), 978 nucleotides long. NCBI's taxonomy places the organism in Eukaryota, Metazoa, Chordata, Mammalia, Perissodactyla, Rhinocerotidae. The record is from RefSeq and is a predicted model, not a curated record.